This 272-nucleotide unclassified non-coding RNA is filed under the name Hevea brasiliensis (rubber tree). The record is from RNAcentral. Lineage: Eukaryota; Viridiplantae; Streptophyta; Magnoliopsida; Malpighiales; Euphorbiaceae.
CCAUGAUAAAUACUACAGCCAUACAACAAUAGACUAACAAAAAAAAAGGGAAAAAAAUGAAAAUUAACAACGAAAUAGGUCUUACUUCACUAACUAGCCUUGACCUUGUCAUCCCCAACAACAGAAAGUAUUGGCAAGCUGCUCAAAAACUCAUCAAGACCCUCGAAAAAUCCAAUCCCUUCAAUAUUAUCCUCCUCCCCGUUUCCGGCUCCAUUCCCUUCGCUCACUCCUGGCACUGCCUCCUCCACCUCAUUGCUAAACAUUACAUUCAA